CCUACGGGGGGCUGCAGUGGGGAAUUUUGGACAAUGGGCGCAAGCCUGAUCCAGCCAUUCCGCGUGAGUGAAGAAGGCCUUCGGGUUGUAAAGCUCUUUCGCAAGGGAAGAAAACUUAUCCUCUAACAUAGGAUGAGGUUGACGGUACCUUGAUAAGAAGCACCGGCUAACUACGUGCCAGCAGCCGCGGUAAUACGUAGGGUAGUAGCGGGCGUAGGAAUUACUGGGCCUGGUGCGUAAGUCAGAUGUGAAAUCCCCGAGCUCAACUUGGGAACUGCGUUUGAAACUACAAGACUAGAAUAGGUCAGAGGGGGGUAGAAUUCCACGUGUAGCAGUGAAAUGCGUAGAGAUGUGGAGGAAUAUCAAUGGCGAAGGCAGCCCCCUGGGAUCAUAUUGACGCUCAUGCACGAAAGCGUGGGGAGCAAACAGGAUUAGAUACCCUAGUAGUC
RNAcentral lists this ribosomal RNA (449 nucleotides) under uncultured bacterium. RNAcentral's name for it is "partial 16S ribosomal RNA". It matches the Rfam family "Bacterial small subunit ribosomal RNA", at positions 338 to 795 of the family's 1533-position model. The record is from RNAcentral.